This 126-nucleotide small RNA is filed under the name Marmota monax (woodchuck). Lineage: Eukaryota; Metazoa; Chordata; Mammalia; Rodentia; Sciuridae. The record is from RNAcentral.
GCCAGGUGUGGUGGUGCACACCUGUAAUCCCAGCAGCUUGGGAGGCUAAGGCAGGAGAAUAGCAGUUCAAAGCCAGUCUCAACAACACAGCAAGGCUCUAAGCAACUUAGAGAGAUCCUGUCUCUA